This 105-nucleotide small RNA is filed under the name Citrobacter youngae. Its description in RNAcentral is "RtT RNA". It matches the Rfam family "RtT RNA", at positions 22 to 130 of the family's 130-position model. Rfam says of the family: This family represents a bacterial cis-regulatory element known as RtT RNA. The exact function of RtT is unknown although it is thought that it may be involved in changing the cellular response in relation to amino acid starvation. Lineage: Bacteria; Pseudomonadati; Pseudomonadota; Gammaproteobacteria; Enterobacterales; Enterobacteriaceae. The record is from RNAcentral.
AUUCGAACCUGCAGCAGGUUCGGGUCGAGCGUAGUGAGACAACGGAGCCGUUUACGGAGACGGCCCGAAGGGCGAGCGAAGCGAGUCAUCCUGCACGCCCCACCA